GCACUGCUGAGGAGUCCCACAAUAGGGUGAAACGGCUGUCUAGUGC
Molecule: non-coding RNA, 46 nt
Filed under: Schistosoma haematobium
Lineage: Eukaryota; Metazoa; Platyhelminthes; Trematoda; Strigeidida; Schistosomatidae
Source: RNAcentral